Long non-coding RNA from Trifolium pratense (red clover), 716 nucleotides. RefSeq lists it as uncharacterized. The record is from RefSeq and is a predicted model, not a curated record. The transcript is spliced from 2 exons. NCBI's taxonomy places the organism in Eukaryota, Viridiplantae, Streptophyta, Magnoliopsida, Fabales, Fabaceae.
CAACACCCAAGAGUCCCUAGCUAGAGUCAUCAUAAAUAAUAGCAUCAUCCAGUAAUAAACAUAGGAAAAAAUAAUGUAAAAUAAUUGUUGUUAUUAUUCACCUUCAUCACACAUAUAUAUACUCUUAUAUUUGACCCUUUAAUUUCAACUAAGUCAUCUUAACCUUGAGAUAGUUUAUAAAGGUGUAGGAAAAAGACAUGAUAAUGGUCUUCACUCUUUCAAACUUUGCUUUUACUUCAUUUCAAAAUUUCCAACUUAAAAGCUAUUCUUGGUUGGUUGGUUUUUUUUUUCAAAGUUUCAAUAGUAGGCUAUGAAACUAUAUGAGGGGCUUUUUGUCUUUUUUUAUGGAAAACCUAUAGAAAGGGGAGUGAAGGGAAUUCAAGUUCUUCAUUCCUACCUUCUUAAUGUAUCUGAUCAAUUACUCUAAUUCAUUUCAGAUCACAUCUUGUUGAAGCAAAGAGCAUCACCAAUGGAAUUGUAGAGGGGAUGAGAUUGAAGGAGAAACUGUUUUCAUUGGAAGGAAGAGUUACUCUUGCAAUGUAUUUUUUUGUUGGAUAACUUUUUGGUGCAGGAAAGGAAUAUAAGUCUAACAAGUGGGUUUGGAGAAAUGAACGUUAUGAAGAGAUAUAGUUAAAGGUGCUUAUCAAAUGUUUUACGAUUGAUAAGAGUGAAGGUUUUGGUCUAGCUACUAAGAUUAUUUUGAAUAAGAUGCUUCU